RNAcentral lists this long non-coding RNA (285 nucleotides) under Malus domestica (apple). RNAcentral's name for it is "long non-coding RNA (MDOM_LNC015935)". The record is from RNAcentral. Lineage: Eukaryota; Viridiplantae; Streptophyta; Magnoliopsida; Rosales; Rosaceae.
UAUUUAAUACUUAAACACCCUGAACGGACCAUCCGCCUCCUUCUGAAACCUUCGCGCGGUUCUUCUGGGUGUCGGCCUCCGCGCGGUUCUUCUGGGUGUCGGCCUCCGCGCAGCUAGAGAGAGAGAGGGAGGAGAGGGAGAGGUUGCAAUCGACAAUGGUGGCGCCAAAGAAGACGAAGAAGACCCAUGAGAGCAUCAACACCAGGCUCGCUCUCGUCAUGAAGAGCGGCAAAUACACUCUUGGUUACAAAACCGUCAUCGAUUCCCUCCGCAGCUCCAAAGGCA